AGAGAGAAGAAAGAAAAAGCAAACUUGAGGAAAUCUUUGUAUAUUGAAGGUACAGUUAUGGAUUCCACGUCCUAAAGUAGAGAGAGAUAGAGAGGUCCCCAAUAAGAUAUAUCACAUAGAACAACAAAUAUAUAUAUAUUUUUUACACAAGUAGUCCUACAAUUAAUGACAAGUAAUUAAAUUGAUGAUCAGAAAACAGAAAUAAAUUUUCUACAACUUCUUACAAAAUUACAGAAUAAUUAAAAAAGAUAUUGAGAUAAUUCAGUUCUUGAUCGAGAGACUGCGGAAUUGAGAUUCAUUUCUGAAGGAUGUUGAUGAUGAAGAUAUGGCCUGCAGGCUAAUCAUAGAUAUAUAGAACUAUAUAUACACAUAUAUAUAUGGUUAACUGGCUUGGUGCAAAUUCCUUUGGUAUGGUUAUGGGGUGUCUCUCUAUUGUAAUUUUUUAUGAUGGGAAAGUACAAAAUGGGAAAUUAAAGAUUGACCCCUAAGUUUCUUACCAAAAUGCAAUAUAUGUAAAUAUGAAUAUAAGCAUUUGGACUCCAAAUGCUUAAAAUGGUCUUCUCAUAAAAACUUGGAAGGUCAGCAAAUGCACAAACAUCCAGUACACCAAGCUUUGAUCAUAUUCCUUGUUUGAAGCCUUAGUGGCAGAGGAAGUGAGAGAAAUGGAAGCUGAU
Molecule: unclassified non-coding RNA, 674 nt
Filed under: Hevea brasiliensis (rubber tree)
Lineage: Eukaryota; Viridiplantae; Streptophyta; Magnoliopsida; Malpighiales; Euphorbiaceae
Source: RNAcentral